UACAACCACCUGAAAUGUGGUUCCAGAGCACUUUUUGGGGUACAACCGAAGGAAAUGGGGUCCCCAGACCACUUUUUGGGUACAGCUGAAGAAAAUGGGGUCUCCAGACGCCUUUUUGGGGUAUAAUUGAAGGAAAUGGGGUUCCCAGACCCCUUUUUGGGUACAACCACGUGAAAUGUGGUCCCCAGACCCCUUUUUGGGGUAUAACUGAAGGAAAUGGGGUCCCCAGACCCCUUUUCGGGGUAUAACUGAAGGAAAUGGGGUUCCCAGACCCCUUUUUGGGUACAACCACAUGAAAUGUGAUUCCCAGAGCACUUUUUGGGGUACAACCGAAGGAAAUGGGGUUCCCAGACCCCUUUUUGGGUACAACCACGUGAAAUGUGGUCCCCAGACCCCUUUUUGGGGUAUAACUGAAGGAAAUGUGGUUCCCAGACCCCUUUUUGGGGUAUAAUUGAAGGAAAUGUGGUCCCCAGACCCCUUUUUGGGUACAACCACGUGAAAUGUUGUUCCCAGAGCACUUUUUUGGGGUACAACCGAAGGAAAUGUGGUUCUCAGAGCACUUUUUGGGGGUACAACCAACAUGGAAGCGUUGUUUCCCUCCCAAUUCGGGGUACAACAAGGCGAAAACUUCGUCCCCUCCCACCGCAACCCCAAAAAGACACCGCAAUCCUUCAGCCCUCAGCCACCAGCGCCGCCAUGUUGUCACCGUCACGACAUCACCGCCACGUUGUCACCACCCAGGUGUCACUGCCACACCGUCACCGCCAUGUUGUCACCGUCACGCUGUCACCGUCACACCGUCAACGCCAUGUUGUCACCAUCACGUUGUCACCAUCACGUUGUCACAGUCAUGCUGUCACCGUCAGUCACACCGUCACCACCAUGUCACUGUCACGCUGUCAUCGUCACAUUGUCACUGUCACAGUGUCAGUCACAUAACUGUCACGUUGUCACCACCAUCGUGUCACCGUUGUCACCAUCACCACGUCAUCACUGUCGCACUGUCACGUUGUCACCGCCAUGUUGUCACCAUCGUGUCAUCACUGUCAUGUUGUCACUGUCACCACCAUGUUGUCGCUGUCACGUUGUCACUGUCACAACCAUGUCGUCCCUGCCACGUUGCCACCAUCACGCUGUCGCCGCCAUGUUGUCGCCGCCGCCAUGUCGUCGCCGUCGCCGCGUCGCCGCCGUCAGUCACGUUUCUGGCCGGCCGUUCGGCCGCAGCGCCGCCAGCGCCUCCAGUUGAGGAAGAGGAGGGCGGCGUUGACGGCGUAGGUGCUGAGGCAGACGAGGCAGAGGUCGCGGAGGCCGAAGGCCAAAACCAGCGCCAGGUACAGCGACGCCACCACCGACGUCACCGACGUCACCAGCAGCGCCGCGGAGGAGGCUCUGCCCGGCACCGCGCCUGGAGGGGGGCAACGGGAAUGAUGGACGGCUGUGGGGACACACGGACAUGGGGCGGGGGGGGACGUACGGACAGACGGACGGAGAUGGGGACACGCUGGGGAUAAAUGGAUGGAGAUGGGACACACGGACAGAUGGAGAUGGAGGCACUUCAGGGACACACGGACAUGGACAGAAAGAGAGAUGGAGAUGAGGACACUUCAGGGACACACGGACAGAUGGGGACACUUCAGGGACACACGGACAUGGAAGUGUCAGGGACACACGGACGGAGAUAGGGAUGUGUUGGGGACAGACGGACACGAGGGGGGGACACACGGGAUGAAUGGAUGGAGAUGGGAACACAUGGACUGGGGGGACAUACGGACAUGGGGGGGGACACAGACAGAUGGACAGAGAUGGGGACACACUGGGAUGGAGAUGGGGACACAUGGACAGAUGGACAGAUGGACAGAUGGAGAUGGGGACACUUCAGGGACACACGGAUAUGGAGGGAGGACACACGGACAUGGAGGUGUCAGGGACACACAGACAGAGAUGGGGACAGACGGACAUGGGGGGGACACACAGACAGAGAGACAGAGGUGGGGACACGCUGGGGACAAAUGGAUGGAGAUGGGGACACACAGACAGAUGAGAUGGGGGCACUUCAGGGACACACGGACAUGGAGGUGUCAGGGACACACAGACAGAGAUGGGGACAGACGGACAUGGGGGGGACACACGGACAGAGAGACAGAGGUGGGGACACGCUGGGGACAAAUGGAUGGAGAUGGGGACACACAGACAGAUGAGAUGGGGGCACUUCAGGGACACACGGACAUGGAGGUGUCAGGGACACACAGACAGAGAUGGGGACAGACGGACAUGGGGGGGACACACGGACAGAGAGACAGAGGUGGGGACACGCUGGGGACAAAUGGAUGGAGAUGGGGACACACAGACAGAUGAGAUGGGGGCACUUCAGGGACACACGGACAUGGAGGUGUCAGGGACACACAGACAGAGAUGGGGACAGACGGACAUGGGGGGGACACACGGACAGAGAGACAGAGGUGGGGACACGCUGGGGACAAAUGGAUGGAGAUGGGGACACACAGACAGAUG
This 2511-nucleotide long non-coding RNA is filed under the name Chrysolophus pictus (golden pheasant). RNAcentral's name for it is "lncRNA (ENSCPIG00010005881.1)". Lineage: Eukaryota; Metazoa; Chordata; Aves; Galliformes; Phasianidae. The record is from RNAcentral.